RNAcentral lists this transfer RNA (72 nucleotides) under Camelus bactrianus (Bactrian camel). It matches the Rfam family "tRNA". From Rfam's summary of the family: Transfer RNA (tRNA) molecules are approximately 80 nucleotides in length. Their secondary structure includes four short double-helical elements and three loops (D, anti-codon, and T loops). The record is from Rfam by way of RNAcentral. Lineage: Eukaryota; Metazoa; Chordata; Mammalia; Artiodactyla; Camelidae. RNAcentral also lists the same sequence under 2 other names.
GAGGGUAUAGCUCAGUGGUAGAGCCAAUGCUUAGCAUGCAUGAGGUCCUGGGUUCAAUCCCCAAUACCUCCU